Molecule: long non-coding RNA, 5274 nt
Organism: Ostrea edulis (European flat oyster)
Lineage: Eukaryota; Metazoa; Mollusca; Bivalvia; Ostreida; Ostreidae
Exons: 4
Source: RefSeq, a predicted model, not a curated record
AGUAUAUGUAUUGGAUAUGCAGUUCCAGCCACAAUUGGUCGUAGUUUUAGAUCCAUAGGUUCACUAGUGGUAAUGUAUGUUUGAUUUUGUUCUUCAAUAGCGGUCUUGAUGUGGUUCCUUUCGUGUGUUUUCGGAAGUCCAUAGAAAUCACUAAUUUUCUUUUCAAACUUUGUUAAAUAGUCAUUUUUUUUAACAAGUGUCCGUGUUUUCGGCACAUCUGUUUUAAAUUCCUCAAAAUAUUUUUAUCGGGAUUUUGUGGUUGUUUUACAUAAAAGUUCUUAUCCUCUAUAUGUUGAAGCACGAGGGAUUUGUAAAAUGCUUUAAAUGCUUUAUCCAUACAGACUAUUGCUCCUCCUUUGUCCGCCUCUUUGAGGAUAAUCUCAGAGUCAAUCUGUAAUUUUUUAAGGGCUUUUUUCUGUAUUAAAUUCAAAUUGAUGGAAUACAGUUGAUACUUCGAUUCCCUUUUUGGACAUCAAAAUGAUAAAACAUGAAACCAACAUCCUAACUGACAUAUUUUACAAUACAACGGAUACACACCAAUAUUUGAAUUUCAAAUCAUGUAAUCCUACACACACUAAAAGGAAUAUCCCAUACAAUUUGGCCAGAAGGAUUUGCACCAUUGUUAAAGAUGAAAAUACUAAAGACCAAAGACUGACGGAAUUGCGAAUAUUUCUUACUGCACAGAAUUAUCCGGAAACACUCAUUCUUUCAGCCAUAAAUGAAGCAAAGAAAAUUCCACGGGAUAUACUUAGAACAACAAGAAAAAACAAGACCAUGAUCCUUUCUAAUACCAUUUAAGACAACUUACAACCCAAAACAUAUAAAUAUCUUUCAGGAAACUAAGAAGAAUUGUACAAUAAUUGAGCAUAAUUUAGAACUUCAGAACAUUAUUCCCAAAUCUGACCUACUCCACAGCCAAAUACAACCAUCUAACAUGAAGAAAUUGAUUUUUUUAAAAAGAGCCAAAUUCAAUUCAAAGCCUGAAAAAUACGCAGUUUCUACAUGUGGUGACUCGAGGUGUGGUACAUGCCCCUUCCUAAAAACAGGACCUUCUAUUACUUUUAAAUGCGGAAAAUAUUUUAAUGUAAAUUAUAACAUGUCAUGCAAGUCGAAAAACUUACUAUACUGCAUUAUUUGCAACGAUAUGUGGCGAGUAUAUUGGAUAAACUGGAACACAAUUAACAGCCAGGAUGCGUGUCCAUCGCCAACAAAUUAGUGAUCCCAGUACAAGAAAUACCCCAUGCAGCGAACAUUUUGACACCUGUGCUAGAGGCAACUACAACGUAUUUCCAUUUUAUAAACUUGAAACAGAAUCAACGUCCAUGGGACUUGCUAAAGAAAAUUAUUCCAUUAAACUGUUUUCUCCUAGACUAAACAAACUUUAUUGAACACAUAUGAAAAAAUUCUUAUUGUUAAACCUUUUAAUUCAUCAACUUUUAUUAUGUAAAAUGUCAUGCUUAUUUUGUCCAAGUCACCUUUCCCGAACUUUUGUAUUAUGACGUUAUGUACAUGAAACGUACAUCUAUUCCCUCCUCGCAAAGACUAUUAUGACAAAUUGAGAUCGGGUUUCGGAUGUAUCAUAACCUGAUAGAGGCUAAAUAUAAAGCUUAAGUCAACCGGACCAUAGGGGCUUCUUAUCCAUUAUGUUCUCAAUCUAUAUAUAAAUAUGUAACAAGGGAAGACACAAAAAUAGGACACCGGUUGUAAACAAAGCUAAAAAUCACCUUAGUUCCAAGAAACAAAUCGAAUCCCCUUAUCCAAAAGGCGUUAAACAUCUCCUAAAACAAGUCCAACGGAGUCCAAUCCUCUCAUAUUUGAUUUAAUGGGUUUUAUAGACGAAAAUAAUCCAAGCUGUCUGCAUUGUCGUCAAUCGCGCAUAGAAAAAGAUAACUCUCGCAAUGAAACCUUACUUCAGGCUCUCGGAAACUAUUGGGAGUGUUGUACACUUAAGCGAUAAAUGCAAAUUAUUCCCGCUAAACUUCAAAGCAAUGGAAAAACAAGCAAAUACAGUUCUGCUCGCAGAAGCUUCUAACAGGCUUGCCCGGGACAGGAAAGAGUCACACAAUCGGUAUUAUUGUCGACAACCUUUCGAAGACCAAAAGGGUGACAUUAACAAGUACUACAGGUCUUUCUGAAUCCUUGCUGCGGUCAGAUUCAGAGGCCAAGCAAACACCAACAAGGUCAGUAAUGCUUUAUCCUAAAGUUUAUCUAUUGGAAUGUGUUAAUUAUAGGAGUAUAAAAUGGGAUCCAAAUUAAUGAAAGACCUAGAAACUACUUCUAAGUAGUGAUAAUACCACAGUUUUGAAAAUUUUGUAGAAGAAAUGUUGUUUUGAUUAAAAUUCUGUUUUCAAAUAGAUAUUCGACCACGAUAUAUAUAUUCUGUGGAUUGAAAGACGGUCGUUGCCAAAAUGCAGAACUUUUGGAUUUGCUUCAAACCUCUGAGAGUUUUGAAACAUUCAAAGUUAAUAUCCUUAGGCGUGAUGUCCUGGUGAUAGGUCAUUUUGAGUGGAGACUUCUUUCAUUUUCCACCAGUACCGAACUCAAAGUAUGACGACCCUGGCAGUAGUAACGUGGAAAGUCAACUUCUGAAGUUCUUUCACCAUGUCAAUUUGAACCAUGUUUAUAGACAGAAAGAAGUUGACUUGGUACAGGCUAUCCAUGGAAUUGCCAGAGGCCAACUUACCCAUGAAUCAGAAGCAUUUCUUAUGCGAAUGAAGAGACCACUCCCUCCCGGUGAAAAUCCGUUGAAGAUAAUGGCCAGAAGAGAAGAUGUCUAUUUGUGGAAUUCGAAGUGUCUUCGAGAAAUGGAUGGAGAAGAGAAAAUAUACAAUAGUGAGGAUGAGGGGAUAUAGUUGGAAUCAAAACAGAGAGUUGUCCCAAUUAUGUUAAUAGCCAAUAUAAGUGACACUUUAGUCAAUGUUCUACAAGAUUUGUUUCAGAAAUGAUGGACGGUUACGUGAAAGUUAAGUUCAAUGCUAUUGGCGAAGUGAGCAUCAGGCCAUUCUCAUUCUCCAAAUUUGAUCCAAAUUUGAAAUAUGAUGUUGGCUGCCGGAAGCAAAUUCCCCUUCAACUUUCAUUUGCCAUCACCAUACACCAGUUUCAGGGAAUGACAUUAAACCGCCUGAAAAUUGACUGCAAGGGCAUGUUCGAAUACGGACAACUUGUUGUUGCUGUGAGCAGGUCAGUAAACAAAAAAGGAUUAAGAGUGUUGAAUUUUUCACGAAGAAUUAUUUUGAAUACACCAGCCUGUAAAGCAAACUUAUACAGUGAAGGACUGAACAAUAUUCAGGCAAGUGACUUGUCAUGCUGCAAUGAAUCUGAUUAUUCUAAUAUAACUGAACAUUACCAGAAGUUGAUGUCGAGUAAACGUGACGACACCAGUGAUGAUGAUAAUGAUGUUCAUGAUGAUGACUAUGACAAUGAUGAGUUAAUGAUACAAUUGGUAGAAUCUAUUGAAAAUAAGCAUAUACAAAACCCCAUGGAAACUGAAUUGGAACAUCAUCUACCACCCCAUAUAAAUGUUCAAAACAUCUUGCACACUCUCAAACAUGAUGUUCAACAGACAGACAUCCAACAGCAGGAAAAUGAAACAUUAGACUGGAUGAUGGCUGAUCAGAACUGUGUAGAACAAUUCAUGAGUUAUUUGUGGAAUAGGCUUAAAAAGGCAUUUUGUGACAUUAUUCAAUCAUUAGAGGUUGUGAACAAUAAAACAGUGAAUGGCUUUUAUAAAAAGUUUCAGGAAAUCGCCACAUCUGAAGCAUACAGAGAAAUUGUCCACAAAAACCUUGUUUCCAAGUGUAAUGAACCUUUCAAAUGUUCACUACAAUGUUGCAUUUAAGCUUGCCACUUUCAUAAAGAAAUAAGUAAUCCAAGAGCAUGCAAAGUCAAUAAAAGAUGAUGGAAAUCUAAAACUUCCCAAUACAUCUCAAAAUUAAUUCUCGGAACGUGUGGCAGGAAAAGGUAAGAUUGGGUAUCUAGGUGGCUGGUGCCUGUCUUCUUUAUGACGCCGUAGAAUGACGAGAAUUAUGACAAAUGCAUAUAAUGUCAAGAAAGACGCAUUGGUGAAUGCAUUAACUUUGGAGAAAGAUCUACUAGACCAUGUUAUUGCUGUCUCAGAGAUAAAUAUCCUAGAGAGUUCCGUGUUUGUAGAAACACUUCAUGAAACUGCUAGGAAACACAAUGCUCCUAAAGGAUUAACACAUAUCACAGAUGAUGCAGUCAACUUCUUCUUGUGUUUAGAACAGGAAUUGCAGAAAUACAAACUGAGGGAAAUAUUGCUAUUCAAGGCAAAAAUAUUGGAACAUUCCUCUCACAAAACAUUGAUGCUUUCAGAAAAUUUAAUUGCUCAAUGGAGAAAAUUUUUCCAUACAUAUGAGUCCACUGCUAUAAAAACAGAAAUAACAAAGCACCUUAACAUUAUGUUAGAGGAUGUUAUUCUGAAAUACCUCAAGAUGAGUGUAGCCCAACUUAGGAAAGAUUUUCUACAGCAACAAAAGGUAAAAAAAAACCUGAAGCUACUAGAAAACAAAUAAAGAUGCGUACACAACGACAAACGAAAGGGUUUUUUGAUUUUACAACAAUAGAGAGAGAGUGACGACUCUCCUAAUAGAGAGUCUGAGCUUCUGUCUGAUAAAACAUUCUUACAAAAAUUCAAAAAAGAAGAACUGAACAGACUUUGUGAAUGUUAUAAGUUUAAUCCUUAUCAGUCAAAGAAAAAAAUUGUCAUUGACUUGGGUGACUACAUUUUAAGUGCAGAGGGGAUGAAUUUUGCAAAGCACUCCAAUGUAUCAACACAAGGAUCAGAAGACAAUCCAAACACAUGUAGUAGACCAAAGAGAAAAUGUCAGGAUGUAAGAAGAGAAAUUGUAGCCUCGGGGACCAAGAAGAAGGAAACUAGAGAGAAAGGGACAUCAUCAAAGAAACAAAAACAGAUAAAGUGGCCCUGCAGUGCUUGUGGUGGAGAAGCUAUUGAGUACUCUGUUGGGUGUGAUAAUUGUGAGAAAUGGUUUCACGCUGCAUGUUUGAAUAUUGAUAUUGGUGACUUGGAUAGCCUCCUAGAGGUUUGGUUUUGCAGAACUUGUUGUUCAAAAAGUUGAAGAGAAAAUGUGUUUGGCUACUUAUUUAUCACCGAAAUGGUAUGUCAUCUUCACACAGUGAGAAAACUUUUUGUUCACGGUUACCUGACUUGCCUGUCUAACCAAUUUUUCUCUCUGCUAACCCAGAAGUAUUUAAUUUGUCAAACUUAAUCCGAUCAAAUAAACAUUAAGAAACUGU